This 795-nucleotide ribosomal RNA is filed under the name uncultured archaeon. RNAcentral describes it as "bacterial SSU rRNA". It matches the Rfam family "Archaeal small subunit ribosomal RNA", at positions 85 to 879 of the family's 1478-position model. The record is from RNAcentral.
ACGGCUCAGUAACACGUGGACAACCUACCCUGAGGUCGGGGAUAAACCCGGGAAACUGGGUAUAAUACCCGAUAGAUCUAGAUCGCUGGAAUGCUUUUAGGUCUAAAGUUCCGACGCCUCAGGAUGGGUCUGCGGCCUAUCAGGGUAGUAGUGGGUGUAAAGUACCUACUAGCCUACGACGGGUACGGGUUGUGAGAGCAAGAGCCCGGAGAUGGAUUCUGAGACACGAAUCCAGGCCCUACGGGGUGCAGCAGGCGCGAAACCUUUACAAUGCUGGCAACAGCGAUAAGGGGACCUCGAGUGCUACGAUACAAUCGUGGCUGUCUAGUUGCCUAAAAAGCAAUUGAUAGCAAGGGCCGGGCAAGACCGGUGCCAGCCGCCGCGGUAACACCGGCGGCUCGAGUGGUAACCGCUAUUAUUGGGUCUAAAGGGUCCGUAGCCGGCUUAGUUAGUCUCUUGAGAAAUCUGGCCGCUCAACGGUCAGGCGUUCAGGGGAUACUGCUAAAGCUCGAGACCGGGAGAGGUGAGAGGUACUUCAGGGGUAGGGGUGAAAUCUUGUAAUCCUUGAAGGACCACCAGUGGCGAAGGCGUCUCACCAGAACGGAUCUGACGGCAAGGGACGAAAGCUAGGGGCACGAACCGGAUUAGAUACCCGGGUAGUCCUAGCCGUAAACGAUACUCGCUAGGUGUCGGCCACGGUGCGACCGUGGUCGGUGCCGUAGGGAAGCCGUGAAGCGAGCCACCUGGGAAGUACGGCCGCAAGGCUGAAACUUAAAGGAAUUGGCGGGGGAGCAC